RNAcentral lists this ribosomal RNA (711 nucleotides) under uncultured bacterium. RNAcentral's name for it is "bacterial SSU rRNA". It matches the Rfam family "Bacterial small subunit ribosomal RNA", at positions 777 to 1500 of the family's 1533-position model. The record is from RNAcentral.
AUUAGAUACCCUGGGUAGUCCACGCAGUAAACGAUGAUAACUGGUUGUCGGCGAUAUAAUGUCGGUGACUAAGCGAAAGCGAUAAGUUAUCCACCUGGGGAGUACGUUCGCAAGAAUGAAACUCAAAGGAAUUGACGGGGGCCCGCACAAGCGGAGGAACAUGUGGUUUAAUUCGAUGAUACGCGAGGAACCUUACCCGGGCUUGAAAGUUACUGACGAUUCUGGAAACAGGAUUUCCCUUCGGGGCAGGAAACUAGGUGCUGCAUGGUUGUCGUCAGCUCGUGCCGUGAGGUGUCGGGUUAAGUCCCAUAACGAGCGCAACCCCUACCGUUAGUUGCCAUCAGGUAAAGCUGGGCACUCUGGCGGGACUGCCGGUGUAAGCCGAGAGGAAGGUGGGGAUGACGUCAAAUCAGCACGGCCCUUACGUCCGGGGCUACACACGUGUUACAAUGGCAGGUACAGAGGGCAGCUACCCAGCAAUGGGAUGCGAAUCUCGAAAGCCUGUCUCAGUUCGGAUUGGAGGCUGAAACCCGCCUCCAUGAAGUUGGAUUCGCUAGUAAUCGCGCAUCAGCCAUGGCGCGGUGAAUACGUUCCCGGGCCUUGUACACACCGCCCGUCAAGCCAUGGGAGCCGGGGGUGCCUGAAGUUCGUGACCGCAAGGAGCGACCUAGGGCAAAACUGGUGACUGGGGCUAAGUCGUAACAAGGUAGC